GUGAGUUAUUGCAUUUUCCUGGCUUUCUCUCAUGUAUGCAUGUUAUAAAACUUUGUUUGAUUUUCUCCUGUUAUUCUGUUUCAUGUAAAUUUAAUUCUUAGACUGGUCAGAAGGAUCUGGAGGGUAGAGGAAUUGUCUUCCUCCCCUACACUUGCAUUCCUCUGGAGUUCAUUCUGUGAACUACGGCACUGCAAUUAGUCUUAUGAGUGUGAUUUGAAGGCCACACCUGAGAUGAAUUAAUCAGCAUCUCUCAGGCUUGAACCCAGGCCUCACAUGGUUCCUCAGACUCCCUAGGUGGUUCCAAUGUGCAUCUGAGUUUGAGAACCACAAGACCCAUCAGCUUUAUAAGGUAAAGGUAAAGCAAGAAUAAGCUUGAAUGCCCUGCCCAUUCUCCAAGGACCCCGUGGAGGAAAGAAGUGGAGAGUCACCUGCUGAAGUGAGGAGCAAGGAACUGCUGUUUUCACCCCUGCGGGGAAGCUGGUCAUGCAGAGCCCAACCACUGAUCUUGGCACUUUCACAAGAAGAUUCACCCUGAGCUAACAUCUGCUGCCAAUCCUCCUCUUUUUGCUGAAGAAGACUGGCCCUGAGCUAACAUCUGUGCCUAUCUUCCUCUACUUUAUAUGUGGGAUGCCUGCCACAGCAUGGCUUGCCAAGUGGUGCCAUGUCCACACUGGGAUCCGAAACUGAAACCCUGGGCCACUGAAGCGGAACAUGUGAACUUAACUACUGUGCCACCUGGCUGGCCCCGUGAAUAAUGUUUUCAAAGCACCGAGUACAGAGUGAAUAAAUGGUAGCUGCCAUUUUUAGGAAGUCUUCUUCACUGUUGAGGCCACCUGGCAGCUCUGGUUAUAAUCUCAUUUUUCCAGAUAUAAUUUUAGUGUUAGGAUAGGCUGGGGACAUAUGUGCCAACAAGCGGUAUGUAGACCAAUAACCCUUGUCACCAAGACUGAUGAAAAUCUAAGGUUAUGUGGAAUAUGGCAACCAAUCAUAAGGAGAGAGAGCCUUCUGUCAAUUUAAGAAUUUACCGACUCUCGGAAACCGUGAUUUUUAGUUUUUUGAAUUUGGGAGUCUUUUCUAACUUUACUCAAAUAAGAUGCUCCUGAUGAAAGUCCAUUGCCGCUUCAGUCUUGGCCCUCUCUGCCUAGCUUUUAAAUUGGGAUUAAAUUUUAACAAACCCUCAACUGUGUGUGCUUAUGUUAUCACAGAAUGUUACAUCAGGCAUUAUAAAUAAUUCCUAGGCAAUAUUUAGAAUGGCUGCAAGCCAUUUUUAGAAUUGGUGGAGAAUUAUUUACAACACGCUACUCACACACUGCCUGCUGCAGGUCAUUAUGUGUUUCUCUUAAAAUCCUCUAAAGCAGUGAGGAUACCAUGGCUACCCAGGGGUUUAUUACUGUGCCAAGUCAAGGAUGGUGGC
This 1414-nucleotide long non-coding RNA is filed under the name Equus caballus (horse). Its description in RNAcentral is "lncRNA (ENSECAG00000050775.1)". The stretch from base 1208 to 1306 matches the Rfam family "mir-384 microRNA precursor family". The record is from RNAcentral. Lineage: Eukaryota; Metazoa; Chordata; Mammalia; Perissodactyla; Equidae.